ACGGAAGGCAGCAGUGGGGAAUAUUGCACAAUGGGCGAAAGCCUGAUGCAGCGACGCCGCGUGAGUGAAGAAGUAUCUCGGUAUGUAAAGCUCUAUCAGCAGGGAAGAAAAUGACGGUACCUGACUAAGAAGCCCCGGCUAACUACGUGCCAGCAGCCGCGGUAAUACGUAGGGGGCAAGCGUUAUCCGGAUUUACUGGGUGUAAAGGGAACGUAGACGGUUUGGCAAGUCUGAAGUGAAAUGCGGGGGCUCAACUCCUGAACUGCUUUGGAAACUGUCGAACUAGAGUGCAGGAGAGGUAAGUGGAAUUCCUAGUGUAGCGGUGAAAUGCGUAGAUAUUAGGAGGAACACCAGUGGCGAAGGCGGCUUACUGGACUGUAACUGACGUUGAGGCUCGAAAGCGUGGGGAGCAAACAGGAUUAGAUACCCUGGUA
This 434-nucleotide ribosomal RNA is filed under the name uncultured Lachnospiraceae bacterium. Its description in RNAcentral is "partial 16S ribosomal RNA". It matches the Rfam family "Bacterial small subunit ribosomal RNA", at positions 341 to 792 of the family's 1533-position model. Lineage: Bacteria; Bacillati; Bacillota; Clostridia; Lachnospirales; Lachnospiraceae. The record is from RNAcentral.